RNAcentral lists this ribosomal RNA (482 nucleotides) under uncultured bacterium. Its description in RNAcentral is "partial 16S ribosomal RNA". It matches the Rfam family "Bacterial small subunit ribosomal RNA", at positions 28 to 507 of the family's 1533-position model. The record is from RNAcentral.
GACGAACGCUGGCGGCGUGCUUAACACAUGCAAGUCGAACGCUGAAGCUCAGCUUGCUGGGUGGAUGAGUGGCGAACGGGUGAGUAACACGUGAGUAACCUGCCCUCUUCUUUGGGAUAACGCCCGGAAACGGGUGCUAAUACUGGAUAUUCACUGAUUCUCGCAUGGGGGUUGGUGGAAAGGUUUUUUCUGGUGGGGGAUGGGCUCGCGGCCUAUCAGCGUGUUGGUGGGGUGAUGGCCUACCAAGGCUUUGACGGGUAGCCGGCCUGAGAGGGUGACCGGUCAAAUUGAGACUGAGACCCGGCCCAGACGCGUACGAGAGGCAGCAGUGGGGAAUAUUGCACAAUGGGCGAGAGCCUGAUGCAGCGACGCCGCGUGAGGGAUGGAGGCCUUCGGGUUGUAAACCGCUUUCGCUGAUGGUCAAGCCGCAGAUUUGGGUUGUGGUGAGGGUAGUGGGUAAAGAAGCGCCGGCUAACUACGUG